Long non-coding RNA from Pseudopipra pipra, 1998 nucleotides. RefSeq lists it as uncharacterized. The record is from RefSeq and is a predicted model, not a curated record. NCBI's taxonomy places the organism in Eukaryota, Metazoa, Chordata, Aves, Passeriformes, Pipridae. The transcript is spliced from 11 exons.
GGGUCUCUGGUUUUAUGUGUCUGCUCAAACAACAGCACCAGCAAGCGAAGCUGCUGCCGACUCCUGGUCAUCGCAGACGAGGAGCCUGCUGGGGCAGAGAGCAGCAGUUUGGCAAUUCCCAAGGAAAUCUGAACUUUUGAUCUUCUGACCUUUGAAAGGGGGUGGUUUUUAAAUGCACACCAAAUACUACAGACCUAUUAGCCACGGGCAGAUGUGACUGACACAGAUGAGCUGUUGGCCUUCCUAGGAGAUGCUGCAUCAACACAAUGCUGUCUGAAUAUGCCACAGGGGAGACAAGCUUGGCACCCCGUGAACUUUAUUGCCAUGGAGAAUUUGGCAGAAGUCAUCAUACCUUGCAGCCAGCAUCUUCCUGUGGCAGGCUCAGGUCUUGUAUCUUUGUUUCCUUGAACUUCCCAGGAGUUCCAGCCUGACCACACUGGUUUUGUGCUAUGGGAUGCCUAGAAAAUAUGGAUGCCCUAAACAGGACUGAUCGACAUCCAGCAAGCGAUUCCCAGGUUACUGUCAGCCAAACCACGGUGCCUUGGGAUCCAAACAGCACAAAAGAGUCAACCUGCUGAGUCUCACAGCAUCUGCCUUGGCCUCAGUUGAAGACUCAAGCAUGUUCCAGUGGUCCUGCACUCCCCGUGCACAGGGUCAGCCGAAACAGGCUCUCAUCAUCCGGCUUUCCAACAGGGAAUUUCUCACGGCACGAGCAACCUCCUUUCCAGCAAAUCACAGGUGUUCCCCACAUGGCGUGAGCAGUUCUGGGAGAGGAAAUUCUGCAAACCGACUCUGAACUCAGGAAAGGGAGGUACUUGAGAACUUGCUGUGCUGAGGGAAAAUACAAGAGGCUUGUCUUUGCAAUUGUGCCUGAUUGAGCACUACUGAAAAACACAGAAAUGUGGAGCCAGACUGGUACCAAGCAGUUCCAGGAUAAGACAAAUGAUCUUUGUGUUACUGGAUCUCUGCACCACCAACUGGGAUUGAAAAAAGAGAUGGCACGGCUUUUCUCUGGGAACAGGGGGUGUGUGCGCACCAAAAAGCACCAAGGAGGAACUGGAGCCUUGGCGGGUCCAGGAGGGUGCCCAGAGCAGCUCUGCAAGCAAAGUUAGUGCCUUCACUCCUCUGUCAUCACCAGUCCCUGAGAGCAAUCACCACCCACCAACAGUUCCUUGAGAUAAGCCCGAGCCAGCUGGGAGAAGAAAGCCUUUGAUAUUCCCCUGCCUUGCUGAGCUGCUGUGGCAUCAAAGGUUGCCCGUGCUGAUGAGUAUGUGCAAGCCAGGAAAGUGGAAUCAACCCUGGACCAGAUGAAAACCUUCCCACAGCAUGGAUGGAGACUGGGCCAACCCUGGCACAUGGAAAUGGACCUGUGCAGCUUGAAAGUCAGGCACAACACAGCAGCAGCAGCAGCAGGGAGAGGAGGAUUUGUCCCAGUGAAUACACAAGCUGUAUGAGGAUAUCUCAGCAGGCAGCCCCCAAGCUCCAGCAGGACCCAAGGAUCCAGGAUCCAGGUACUCUCAAAAGCUUGGAUUGUAAUGACUGAGACCUGAGGACCCAGCAUUGCUGGAGAACAACCGUGAUUUCCAGCCAUCUCUUCUGUCUCACUUCCAGUGCUCAAUCAGUCUAAUUACUGCUGGGCCUUUGCCCAUCCUGUUGUGAAAUGCUUCAGGGGUUAAAGAAAAACAGCAACAACAACAAAAAAAGAUCAAACUGUGGUCUAAACCUCAGGAGGAAGAAGGCAUCUGUCAGGACAAGCUUUUACCAGAAGUGGUAUAAAGAAUCCUUGUUUACUGAAUCUUUCAAGUCUGUAGCUAGUUCAAAGACACCUCACAGUCCUCCUCAUUAGAGGAGCAAAGGAACAGAAAAGCCCUCAGUCUAACUCAUUAAAAGCAGUAGCUUUGUGUGCUAUGGUGUGGCAGGCUUUUGUAGGUUGGAUUUUUUUCUUUUGCAUCUGCUAAUGGUAAAGUUCUUUCCAAAGUGAUAAUCCACCCCUGUGUC